UGUCACACUGAUAGACAGGAAAAGAAUUUAUGUCAUCACAAAAUGUGAGUGCUGUGUAUCAGUCAGAGGGGAAGCUGGAACUACAGAGAAUAAAGCGAGUCUGCUGAGGGAACAACUGUUUAUAGCUGCUGGAACUUCAGUGACAACAGGAAGUAACCUGC
Long non-coding RNA from Neoarius graeffei (lesser salmon catfish), 161 nucleotides. RefSeq lists it as uncharacterized. Lineage: Eukaryota; Metazoa; Chordata; Actinopteri; Siluriformes; Ariidae. The record is from RefSeq and is a predicted model, not a curated record. The transcript is spliced from 3 exons.